UUAUAACAUGUAGUCAUGAAGUUAUCUACAUUAUAUGCUAUUGAAAGAGACAAUCUAAAGCUGAAGAUUUCUUAAAUUUACCAUAAUGAUGCUCUGGACACUUAAAGUAAGAGCCCUUUGAAACUGACGUGCUUGCAGGAUAAAGCACACUCUUCCUCUGGAGGAGAGAAAGCCAAUAUAUUGUGGUGGCGGAAGGAACAAUGGAGCCAAUGAAACAGAGGUCAGAGCUGAAGGUUUCUGCUAGAAGCAAGCUAUAUACAGGUAUUUUAAUUUCAUUUUAUUCAGAAACUCUGCUCUAGGACCCAGAGCCCUGCAAGUAGACUGCUGGUAAGAAAAGCACUCAAUUGUUCAAUUUUUAUUAUUCAAUAUUGUAUUAAAAUUUUUUUAGGUUCUUCGGGUCAAGGCGACUUUUAAAAGGUUAAAAGCUAUUCAAAAGGGUUACCAUAUCCAUAAAAGCAAAUGAAAUUAAGCCUAAAGACUGAUGGAAGGAAAACAAUAAUUUAGAUAAACUGCCACUGGCUCAAAAUGUUUUGACUUUUACCAGAGAAAGGGAAUUCAGAGAUUCUUGGAUUGGUUGUUGUAUCAAAGAAAGAUUCAUUCAAUCUGAAGCAAUUAUUUUUGUGCUUUUUAAUAUUUGGUGUGUUUUAGACGGGUCCCACCUCUCUUCAGUUACAUUCUUUAUACUGGGAAAUGUAAUUGCGUGGCUCCAACUUCCAUCUGUCAACUAUUGACCUUGCUGGUUAGGCAUCUGUAACAUCAGACACUGUUGUCAUGGAAAGAAUUAUGAUGUUUCAAUCGAAUGUAUUGCAAAGUUAACAAAUCCAUAACAUGAUCUGGAUCACAUGGAUGAAUUUGGAAAAUGUGUUUCAGAGACCUCUGGGAAAAGUGAACAGGAUCUCCCUAUUAAUGUUGAUCUCCACUCCUUGCCAUUAAUUGUGAAAGCCAUCAUAUUACAACAGUUUAGCUCAAUUUCAACCUUGAACCUGGAGUACUCCAAAUCCAAAGGGCAGGCUUCCCUGUCUGGCCAGCCCUCUGGUCUUAUCAGAAGAAUCUCUUCUCUCUCACACUCUAUCCCACGUCUCAGCUGGAUGCAGGAUGAAUAAAAAUAUGCUUUCUGGUCCUCACACUUGGUUUUAUGUGAGUGAAUGCUGAUGGAAAUGGGUAAGUAAAUAGUUUUUAAGUGCAGUAGAUCAAAUUACUUCCUUCACAACUUGAAGUUCCUGACAUCUCUGGAAAUACCAGGCUUUUUUCAAAUGUGAAAGUGGGUUGAUCUUCACCUAGCUUCAGUUGAUUGCCAAAUUGUCAGCUUUCAAUAUAUCUUUUUAGUUUUUUGAAAAAAAAAUGUAAGUGAUUUGAUCCACCUUUGGGGGAAAUUUCCUUAGCUCAGAAAAUUCAAAACGAUGAACAUCUGUAAAUGCUUUUAUUUUUGACUUGAGUUACAUAGAGUAAGGGACAGAACUGUGCUUAAUGGGAAGUAGUUGUCUUUAAACAAUUGUCUCUUAAUGGUUUUUUCCUUUGUGUCCAAUAGUCUUUAUAUGUUAGUAUCAAGAAAUCAAAUUUGUUAAACUUUGUUACACAACUUCAUCCAAAGCAACCUGGUCUCCCAGGCUUAAAUUCCCCUGUUAUAUUUUCUCAUUGUACACUUAUCCUUCACAGCAUAUAACACAAGAGUCCUGAGCAAUUUAUUUGUGUAAUUAUUUGUUUAAUGUCUGUCUUUACUGAGAGAGAGUGAACUCCGGUAUGAUAGGGUCCAGACCUGUCUGACUCAGUGUUGCAGAUCAGUGUUUAGCAAAGAACAUACAGAGUAGAUGCUCAAGAAAUUUACUAAAUUUACUAAAUCAACAGAUAUUAAUACUUACUAGUAAAUUUUCUGUGCUUACUCUGCUUAGUUGCAAUAAGGUAAUCUAUUACAUAUUGCUUAAACCACUCUAUAUGUAAUAGUUAAAAUAGUAAAACUUGUGUACAUGGGGAAUGGAUUAAAAAUAAAAUUUAUCCUCACUGUCCUCUAUUGAACUCUAAAGGUUUCUAAAGAAAAUGACUUUCUCUUUUUAGCUAUUCAGAUAUUUACCAUCAUAUUUCUAAACAACACAAUCUAUUCUUGGUUUUCUUAAGACUUCAGAGAGUAUCUAUUGAUUUCCAGAUGAAAGAUGAGAAAUUUUAUGCACUCAUAUUUUUCUUUUUCCUUUCUCACUAUUUUCCCCUAAGUUUAGGGUUUGUUUUAUUGUUAUUGUUUUGUUGUUUUGAUUUAGUUCUUCUAUUGGUUACCUUUAUUUCUUAAUAUACUUAUUUUUUCUAGUCACCAGCUCUAGACUACUCUAUCUUCCUCAUAUUAGAUGCGAUGAAGAAAUCAGUGCACCUACACUUUCAGCGUUUCUUCCUCCUUGCUAAAUCAUUAUAUUUCAUAUUUUUAGAGUUUAAUACUAUUUAUAGACAAAAAUUAUUAUUAUAAUAACCUAACCUACGCACUGGUAUCAUUAUAUUUAUACCAUUUACAUUGGUUCUGUAUCCAAUAUCUUUCAUGAUUUGUCUAUAAUUUGAUUUAAAAACAUAAAUAUCUGGAAAGAAAACAAUAUUUAAAUAUUACUUUCACUAGAACAUAUAUGAUUAAGCACACAGAGCUGGUGAUAUAAUCCCAUAUAGUUCCAAACACCAAAGUCCAAAAGUUUAAUUUAUAUAGCAAAUAUUAUAUCUUACUUUAAAAUUAUUAUGAUAAAGAAAUAAAGUACAUAUAUGUUGUACAUAUUAUAUAUACCAAUAUUGUUCAAAUAAUAUUAUAUUUUAGCUUGUUUUAUAUUUCACCAUGACUUUUUCUUUACUUGUUUUCCCAUGCACACUGCCAUCCUCAAUGCACCUCCAAUUAAUAUAAUUUUUUUUCAUAAAGUCCUCUGAUUUCCUUCUGAUUUCUACUAAUUAUAUUUUUGACCUAUAGCUCACUCUGAGAUUUCUUUUAUUGUACCUCUGGAUUAGAUUAAGAUAUUCUUAGAUUCCUUUUCUUCCUCUUU
Bos grunniens (domestic yak) is the source of this 3002-nucleotide long non-coding RNA. The record is from Ensembl. Lineage: Eukaryota; Metazoa; Chordata; Mammalia; Artiodactyla; Bovidae.